RNAcentral lists this ribosomal RNA (208 nucleotides) under uncultured bacterium. RNAcentral's name for it is "partial 16S ribosomal RNA". It matches the Rfam family "Bacterial small subunit ribosomal RNA", at positions 1292 to 1500 of the family's 1533-position model. The record is from RNAcentral.
UUCGGAUUGAAGGCUGAAAUUCGCCUUCAUGAAGUCGGAAUUGCUAGUAAUGGCAGGUCAGCAUACUGCCGUGAAUACGUUCCCGGGCCUUGUACACACCGCCCGUCACACCAUGAGAGUUGGAGGUACCCGAAGCCUAUGAGCUAACUUUUAGAGGCAGUAGUCGAAGGUAGAAUCAAUGAUUGGGGUGAAGUCGUAACAAGGUACC